Molecule: long non-coding RNA, 297 nt
Filed under: Lathyrus oleraceus (garden pea)
Lineage: Eukaryota; Viridiplantae; Streptophyta; Magnoliopsida; Fabales; Fabaceae
Description: Pisum sativum (pea) long non-coding RNA (PSAT_LNC035098)
Source: RNAcentral
GGAGCUAGGGCUUCGGUGAUAUGUUGGCAUGUCUCCAACCAUCUGAUUUGUUUAAAACAUUUUAAUUUGGGCUUCUCCUUUUGAUUACCACUCAUGUGACGCAUUGACUGAGGACCAAAGUAAAUAGCUCGAGCUUGGCCAUCAGAUCUGCCACCUCAAUUAAUGAGGGAGAUCUGAUGGCCCUCGUUUAUCAGUUUUAUUUUUUAAUUCUGAUUUUUCAUUUAAUCCAUUUAUUUUGUUUAAUUAAUGAGGGAAAUCAUUUGAUGUAGUUGCUAGGGAUCCUUAGGAUGACAUUUU